UUCCAGUACCUUCUAUUUGCUUCAAAGCGUAAUCUUUAUCAUCUUUCCCGUCCUUGCGCUUGGCUUUGUAGACGUGCCCGUAGGUGCCCCUGCCCACCUUGCAGCCCUCGUACUCGAACAGGUCCUCCACCCGCUCCCGCUCGCCGGUCAGCUUCACCUUGAAGUCAUAGUCCAUCUUCGCCGCUCCGCGACGCCUCACGGCAGCCGCGCACCCCGCCCCGCCGCUCCCCGGCAGCGGCAACAGCAGAAGGAGGAGGAGGAGGAGGAGGAGGGAAAAGAAGAGGAGGAGGAGGACGCCCCCGGGCCGCCCCGCGAAGCAUGCAGGGCCGGGCGGCGGCGGCGGAGCUCCUCGCUCCUUCCCUCCGCGCCCCGUCCCCGGCCGCUCCCCUCCCGCCCGCCGGCUCGCGGCACAACAGCCGGGCUGCGCGCGGAAUACGGCGGCCGCGCCUGG
This 451-nucleotide long non-coding RNA is filed under the name Gallus gallus (chicken). The record is from RNAcentral. Lineage: Eukaryota; Metazoa; Chordata; Aves; Galliformes; Phasianidae.